RNAcentral lists this ribosomal RNA (492 nucleotides) under Triticum aestivum (bread wheat). RNAcentral describes it as "partial small subunit ribosomal RNA". The record is from RNAcentral. Lineage: Eukaryota; Viridiplantae; Streptophyta; Magnoliopsida; Poales; Poaceae.
AUGGCGGGCAAAAUAGCCAACGUCCUAUGGCUCGAGGGCUCCUUCGUGGAGACCUUGAAGGGGUGGCAGUCAAGGUGGUUUUACAUCAUCGAGUCAUGCGAUCCGAAGUGGAUCGCAGCCCCUGAAUUCCGAUCCGGACCCCCUACACGGCUCACGUCCUGGAAGGAGACGGGCUUGUCGUGGGGCGACAAAGAAGAGGUGACCGGACUGCAAAAAUGCAUCCAGUCCCUAGUGAACAAGCAGCUCAAGCUUGUCAACAUAGUCCAGGUCAUGCUCGUCCGCCAGAUCCUUCCGUGUCAAGAACGGGACUUCAAUUUGUGGGAGUUCAACCCGGCGCAGCACCGAACUCUGAGCAGGCUCUUCGACAUGACGUACGAAGAUGUCUGGAAGGGGCUAACCAAGGCGCCGAGGCUCCCACAUCCACCUCCGAAGACCGCGGAUUCAGCUCGCAGCGUCCUGUUGGCGAGGAUUGGCAGGCGAAGUCCGGACUGA